This is a long non-coding RNA of Aedes aegypti (yellow fever mosquito), 813 nucleotides long. RefSeq lists it as uncharacterized. NCBI's taxonomy places the organism in Eukaryota, Metazoa, Arthropoda, Insecta, Diptera, Culicidae. The record is from RefSeq and is a predicted model, not a curated record. The transcript is spliced from 2 exons.
AUAGUUACAAUAAAUUUUUAUGUGCCGAAAUUGUUGAAUGAUAUUGAGAGAGAAACUUGACAGAUAUGGUUGCAAUGUAUAAUAGCCAUCUGGAAAAUAGUUGGUAGCAACACACAUACACAAAUCUAUUUUACUAUAUGGUACUGUUUUCCAACAGUUCGGCAAACGGUGAUAUAAAAUGGUAUAAGUGUAUUCACGAAAAAAAAAACAUCUGUCAAAACAUAGCAAAGCUAUUGAGUCCCAAGUGAGGCAAAAUUUCGCUCAAUUUUAAAGCCAUCGAAGAAACUAACUAGUAAUUGACUUAUGGCAGUGAAAAUAUUAUUAAUUAAUAUAAAAUCAUUUCAAUUUGUUAUAAUUAUCGUUGUUGUUUGUUCCUGCUUCUGCAUCUCUACGGGAAAGUAGAUUAUUUUGAUCUGUAAAACUUUUAAGUUAUAAGCGCAUACGCCAGAAAACACUGAAACGUCUUCAUGCAUCCUUCAAGUAUCCCUGUCGGCUUUGAAAAGGCUGCACGAGAACCAGACGUGAUAGGAUUUCAGCAUCCAGUUGCCCAAACCAAGCAUAGCGAGCAAGAUCCGCACAGAUUCUUCGGAUUUACUGUUUCCGGGAGACUGAGCAGUUAGUGUUACUAUUGAAUCCAAGUAAAAACAAGGAGGAGUGAUGAUUAUUCAUAAUUAAAAAGACAAUAGCGUUCUAACAAGACAGAAACUGUAACAGGUUUUAAUUUCAAUCCACCAGGAAAAGUAAAUCUUGGAUUAGAGAAAACUGUACAAUGCAAUAAUACAAAUAAUACAAUCUAGAGGUUAAAGAACUAAA